GCUUGAUGAUAGAAACAUUAAUAGAAACAAUAAAAGUAUAACACUAUUUCUGAAUAUCUCACUAAGCAAUUAGGUUCAAAGCAUGUUAAACAUAAUACAAAGGCAAAAAUACAUGUAAUGUAUCUUUUACAUUAGCGAUAAUU
This is a long non-coding RNA of Perognathus longimembris pacificus (Pacific pocket mouse), 143 nucleotides long. RefSeq lists it as uncharacterized. The record is from RefSeq and is a predicted model, not a curated record. The transcript is spliced from 3 exons. Lineage: Eukaryota; Metazoa; Chordata; Mammalia; Rodentia; Heteromyidae.